GCCGGCGCUGCCCGGGCCGGCCCCAGCGCAGGGCACGGCUGAGCCCCUCAGCCCCGGGGAAAGCCUGGCCAAGGGAGGGCAAAACGCUGCCCGGCAGCCAGGGCUGAGCCAGGGGAAGCGAGCGAGAAACAGCGCUGCGAGCCCCGAGGGGACAGCGGGAGCAGGGACGGGGCAGGAGAGGCCCGGCAGGGAUGGCCCUGCGGCCUGGCACAGAGCCCGGCGGGGCGGGCGGACCGCCCGGAGGGAAGCUGCAGCCCCUGGAGAGCCCACGCUGGAGCGAGGUUAUCCUGAAGGAUGACGAAGGCCCCAGGCUGGAGCUCGGGAAGAGCGUGAGGAAGGAACAGCAGAGAAGAGCUGCUAUGGAGUGACCGCAGCCCUUGCGCUGCUCUUCGGGAGGAGUGGUCUGUCUAGAGCAAUUUUCAAGAGUGGUACAUUUCAUAUCCUGCACCUAUAAGUUCUCAGCUUGGACAGUGUCUCACAGAAGCCAGACAGGAAACUAUCAAGACUGGCAAGAAGACAGCUGACAAGAUGAGGAAAAGCUAGAGUAAAUGAAAAGCUCCAGAGACCAGAAAACGAGUGAUGGGAAAACCAUAUAAAAAGCAAAUAGGUGUGAUGGUCAAGGAUUCAAAAAAAAUAAAUAACAAGGGUUCUAGAGGAAAGCAGCAAGUAGAGCAUGCCAGUCAGCACCCACUAAUUUCAGAAGGAAAACAGACAAUUGGUGGAGCUUCACAGCAUGGUGAGAGAGGAAAAUUAGGCACAUUCAAACCCCUGCUGGAAAAAUCCCUGGACAAAUUUUUUUCUUUAAUUUGUCAGUCCCAGGUUAAUCUGAACACCUUGCAACAAUAUAGAAAGGAGCAAAAUAUGGGUAGUUUAGUACAGGAUGAGUUCUGCUGAACAAAUAAGCAAAAGCACAUAGGAAAAGAGGGACCUCAACUAAAGCAUUUUGAAGCUAAAGUACUGUUUGAGGCUGAAAAGAAAGGGACUUGGCCUAAGCAUGGGAAAGCUGAUCCCUGCCAGCUAUAAACAAGGAACAAAUAAAGUGAAUCUAUGUCUUAAACCAUGGGGACAAAUAAAAACAAAUCCUUUAUCUUCCAUACUUUUAAACCAUGAAUUUGAGGAACUUUAACUAGAGGAAGGAAAAACACACCAAUCAAACUGCAGAAAAUCAGUUAGACAUCACAAAGAUUUAUGAAUUAGAGAAAGAAGGGCAGUGCUUCAGGGACACAGAAACUAAGAAAAUCCUUGUGCAUCCUCAAAUGAUAGACCCAAAGAAGGCUAUGGAGGUAAUCAAUGUAUUUUAAUUCUAGAAAGACUUCCCUACACAGAAAGCUGUGUGUGUGAGCAGGAGUCCAUCUGAAUCAUAUCACUGACAAAGCAGUACUCGAUAGGAUUCAAUCUGCUGGACACCAUGCAGAAUGUGAUAUACAAAGAUAAUAGUGCUGGGAAGCAAGAUAAAAGAUGAGUAAUUUUAAUGAGGGGCACCCAGGUGGGCAAAAACAUGUGUCACAUUAUUUUGUAGAUACAAAUCAGUCCUAGAAGUCUUUGUCUUUGUUCUCACUGGGAUUGAAUACUGGAGAUGUCAUGCCUCCCUACUUCUGUCUGCAACUGGAGAGGCAGUCAGAAAGAAUUGAGUGAGAUGAAUAAACUUCAAAAUAUUUCUGAAUUUCAGGAAUAUGAAAGCUAACAAGUUUUGGAGAAGAUGAAAAAUUAUCACUGUGCAGAGAAAAUAGGCAAAAGAAGAAAGACAAUCACUGUGAGGAUUGUGGUAGACUUUGUGCUGAGGGUUAUAUUUUAUAUGUUAUAUGGAGUGAACAACCAGAUAAUUUUUUUUUUCUUUUGUUGAGAUACAUGUUUUAGGGACUUUGCCUCUGUUACAUCUGCAAGAUCUUUUCUUGCAGAGGGAAGAUAGAAAUUGAGUGGUGUAACUGCAUGCUGUAUUUUCACACGGUUUACCUGUGUGUCACAUGCAAUGUUUAAUUAAAGGUGAAGGCUGGAAAAUGGGAAGAAAAGCUGCCCCUUGGUUUGUCCAAAGUGUUGACCUGGUGUGGAAUGAAACUGUCUUUGGACAGUGUGUCCCCUGGAUUCAGUGGGGGUGGGGGUCACUUCUUGUAGAGCUCUAAGAGGAGUAGUAAGAAGCAAAGACUACCAUCUUUUGGAAAUAGUGGGACAGUGAAUAAAAAGCCACAGGGGUCACUGUGUGUUUUCUGUUGCAAGUCAGGAAAUCCUGGAAAGCUGUUGUACUACCAGCACAUCUGGAGGAAAAGGCUAGUGUGUGAAAAAUUUGUUUUUAAUGUCUUUUGUUGUAAUCUGUGACAUUCCAGAACUAAAAUUCAUUUAUUUGAAUGAUCUGUUCUUGUUUGAAAGAUGAUAAACCUAACUGUAGGGAUUUAAUGCUACUUAGUAGCUUAUAUUUUAGAAAGUAAAGAGUUUCUGUAAAAGGCAGACCUGAGCUUCACAAUGUUUCUCACUCAAGUUACAAAUUUACUAAUCUUUGUCCCACAGAUGGGCUGGAGAACUGAGAACUUUUGUAGCUUCUGGGAAAAAAGAUGCCUGUCCUGAGUUGUCAGAGUCCAAUACUUACUGGCCAAGCUCAUUUAGAUACUCCAUGCAUGGAAGCUGCAAUGUUUAAUGUAGUAUUUAUGUAUUUGAAGAUAUUUCACAUAUAGGAUUUUUCAUUUAGCAGAACAAUGUAAAAUAUAUAUUGAUAACACAAUCCAAAUGGCAAAUGUAAGUAUAUAAUUAGCAAUAUGGCAGUUUUAAUUUCCUGCUCAAUCACAAUGUGACUUCCCUACGAACCACUAUAAAUGCUCACCAUCACAAUACUGGGUGUCCACCUUUGUCAGGAAGAAAUACAUGGGUUGAAGACAGCUCAAGCCCAUUGUUUUCUCUGACGUAUCUUUGCCUGUUGUCUAGUUUUGUCUUCUGUUUUGGGAUGAAUCAUGUAUUCACCCUACCCCUCUGUGCUAGCUCAAGCAACUCAGGAAAAUAUUCACCAUCUUUAAAUGAACUCAAGGAGCUACCAGUUGAUGCAUUAAAUUGUUGGUAGGUGUUUACCUGAAGCAAAGACUUCUCUCCCUUGUGCUGAGAUGAAGUCAGCUUAUUUGCAAAAGCUAAGUUCAGUCAUAUCCUGCUUUCCUCCUUGAGCUUCAUGGAUAUCAGGCCCUAUCCAUGCUCUUCUGAGUUUAAAACCCUCAUAGUGUUUUAUUGUUCAGUCAUGUGAGGUGACACAUGAAAUGAAACUGAAAUAAGAUAUAUUUGUGAGCUGUAAAGCAACAAAAUGGUUUGGGUCAGCAGAAAUUCUUAAUUCUGAGAAUAUUUGCAAUGGUUCAUUUUAGUGCUGACCUUUUUAUGAUUGCUUUUAAUAUACACUCUGUGAAACUUAAAGCAAAAAGGUCACAUAGAAAUGUUUGCUUUACUUUAAUAUAUGUCAGAACAAGUCACUUAGGUAAUUUCCAGACACGUUCCACUGAUACUAUAUUUUGAGCGAGAAAUGAAAUUACUUCUAAAAAUUUAUUUUGUUUGUGUGCAAUCAGUAAUUUGUUUCUACUUGUUCUAUCUUAUCCACAGUUGGGAAAAACAAAACAAAACAAAACAAAACAAAACAAAACAAAACAAAAACACAACCCACUAGUCAUCUGCAUCUAUCAUUAAAAUGGCUAGAGCAAAAUGUGCUACUGUUACACUCAGGAAAGAGCCUUAGGCCAGUUACUUAAUUAAAAAAAAAAAAAAGCCAAACAAACAAA
Molecule: long non-coding RNA, 3743 nt
Organism: Passer domesticus (house sparrow)
Lineage: Eukaryota; Metazoa; Chordata; Aves; Passeriformes; Passeridae
Exons: 3
Source: RefSeq, a predicted model, not a curated record